RNAcentral lists this ribosomal RNA (278 nucleotides) under uncultured bacterium. Its description in RNAcentral is "partial 16S ribosomal RNA". It matches the Rfam family "Bacterial small subunit ribosomal RNA", at positions 334 to 604 of the family's 1533-position model. The record is from RNAcentral.
UCAUCCUACGGGGGGCAGCAGUAAGGAAUCUUCCACAAUGGGCGAAAGCCUGAUGGAGCAACGCCGCGUGGGGGAAGAAGGUCUUCGGAUCGUAAAACCCUGUUGUUAGAGAAGAAAGUGCGUGAGAGUAACUGUUCACGUUUCGACGGUAUCUAACCAGAAAGCCACGGCUAACUACGUGCCAGCAGCCGCGGUAAUACGUAGGUGGCAAGCGUUAUCCGGAAUGAUUGGGCGUAAAGGGUGCGCAGGCGGAACCAUAAGUCUGAAGUAAAAGCCAU